GAUGAACGCUGGCGGCGUGCUUAACACAUGCAAGUCGAACGAUGAAGCCCAGCUUGCUGGGUGGAUUAGUGGCGAACGGGUGAGUAACACGUGAGUAACCUGCCCUUAACUCUGGGAUAAGCCUGGGAAACUGGGUCUAAUACCGGAUAGGAGCGUCCACCGCAUGGUGGGUGUUGGAAAGAUUUAUCGGUUUUGGAUGGACUCGCGGCCUAUCAGCUUGUUGGUGGGGUAAUGGCUCACCAAGGCGACGACGGGUAGCCGGCCGGAGAGGGUGACCGGCCACACUGGGACUGAGACACGGCCCAGACUCCUACGGGAGGCAGCAGUGGGGAAUAUUGCACAAUGGGCGCAAGCCUGAUGCAGCGACGCCGCGUGAGGGAUGACGGCCUUCGGGUUGUAAACCUCUUUCAGUAGGGAAGAAGCGAAAGUGACGGUACCUGCAGAAGAAGCACCGGCUAACUACGUG
RNAcentral lists this ribosomal RNA (466 nucleotides) under uncultured bacterium. Its description in RNAcentral is "partial 16S ribosomal RNA". It matches the Rfam family "Bacterial small subunit ribosomal RNA", at positions 28 to 507 of the family's 1533-position model. The record is from RNAcentral.